AGGAUCUACAGUGACUACAAUAACCAAGUGCUACAAAAACGCUGUGACGAGGAAUCUGAACAACAGAGAUUUGAGGGAAACAAAACACUUUCGACGAAGGUCCUGCUGCUUGUCUUCAGCUUGGUACCAAUUAGAGCUUCACUGGAGGUGAAAAAUAUUUCUCCAUCCCUCUACUUUGAGCCUAUGGAUGUUGUUACAUUUAAGGAAAAAUCAGUGUUCUUGAGGCUUGCUUUGCAAAAGUUCAUUGCUUUAACAUGCACCCACUUCAGAGAUGUGAAGACGUCAGAGAUGCUGGUUGCAAGUAAAGACGGUUUGUUGUAUAAAGAAAAUACUUCAUGUCUUGCUGUCUGAAGCUCCAGAGGGGACAUUGACAGAAAGAACAUUAAUAAGAACAGAGAAGCAGAGAAGCCUUGGAAAUCAUGCUUUUAUCUGAAUGGAGGAAGAAAUAAAAGGAGAGGUAAAAUGAAAUCUUGCCACACUGCAUGCUCCCUCUUCUCUUUGUUCCUGUCCAUUUCUAAUAUUAAAAUAAGAACCUUUCUUAACUAA
Molecule: long non-coding RNA, 546 nt
Filed under: Homo sapiens (human)
Lineage: Eukaryota; Metazoa; Chordata; Mammalia; Primates; Hominidae
Description: long intergenic non-protein coding RNA 378
Source: RNAcentral